GAUGAACGCUGGCGGCGUGCCUAAUACAUGCAAGUCGAGCGAACAGACGAGGAGCUUGCUCCUCUGACGUUAGCGGCGGACGGGUGAGUAACACGUGGAUAACCUACCUAUAAGACUGGGAUAACUUCGGGAAACCGGAGCUAAUACCGGAUAAUAUAUUGAACCGCAUGGUUCAAUAGUGAAAGACGGUUUUGCUGUCACUUAUAGAUGGAUCCGCGCCGCAUUAGCUAGUUGGUAAGGUAACGGCUUACCAAGGCAACGAUGCGUAGCCGACCUGAGAGGGUGAUCGGCCACACUGGAACUGAGACACGGUCCAGACUCCUACGGGAGGCAGCAGUAGGGAAUCUUCCGCAAUGGGCGAAAGCCUGACGGAGCAACGCCGCGUGAGUGAUGAAGGUCUUCGGAUCGAAAAACUCUGUUAUUAGGGAAGAACAAAUGUGUAAGUAACUAUGCACGUCUUGACGGUACCUAAUCAGAAAGCCACGGCUAACUACGUG
RNAcentral lists this ribosomal RNA (497 nucleotides) under uncultured bacterium. RNAcentral's name for it is "partial 16S ribosomal RNA". It matches the Rfam family "Bacterial small subunit ribosomal RNA", at positions 28 to 507 of the family's 1533-position model. The record is from RNAcentral.